This 464-nucleotide ribosomal RNA is filed under the name uncultured Klebsiella sp. RNAcentral's name for it is "bacterial SSU rRNA". It matches the Rfam family "Bacterial small subunit ribosomal RNA", at positions 338 to 795 of the family's 1533-position model. Lineage: Bacteria; Pseudomonadati; Pseudomonadota; Gammaproteobacteria; Enterobacterales; Enterobacteriaceae. The record is from RNAcentral.
CCUACGGGUGGCUGCAGUGGGGAAUAUUGCACAAUGGGCGCAAGCCUGAUGCAGCCAUGCCGCGUGUGUGAAGAAGGCCUUCGGGUUGUAAAGCACUUUCAGCGGGGAGGAAGGCGGUGAGGUUAAUAACCUCAUCGAUUGACGUUACCCGCAGAAGAAGCACCGGCUAACUCCGUGCCAGCAGCCGCGGUAAUACGGAGGGUGCAAGCGUUAAUCGGAAUUACUGGGCGUAAAGCGCACGCAGGCGGUCUGUCAAGUCGGAUGUGAAAUCCCCGGGCUCAACCUGGGAACUGCAUUCGAAACUGGCGGGCUAGAGUCUUGUAGAGGGGGGUAGAAUUCCAGGUGUAGCGGUGAAAUGCGUAGAGAUCUGGAGGAAUACCGGUGGCGAAGGCGGCCCCCUGGACAAAGACUGACGCUCAGGUGCGAAAGCGUGGGGAGCAAACAGGAUUAAUACCCUGGUAGUC